AACGAACGUUAGCGGCGCGCUUAACACAUGCAAGUCGAACGAGAAAGGGCUUCGGCCCCGGUACAGUGGCGCACGGAUGAGUAACACGUAGGUAACCUGCCCUUGAAUGGUGGAUAACAUUCCGAAAAAAGUGCUAAUACAGCAUAAGACCACGGUUCCAUCAAGGAACAGGGGUCAAAGCGGGCCUCUUCAUGAAAGCUCGCGCUUGGGGAUGGGCCUGCGGCGCAUCAGCUAGUUGGUGAGGUAAUGGCUCACCAAGGCUAAGACGCGUAGCUGGUCUGAGAGGAUGAUCAGCCACACUGGAACUGAGACACGGUCCAGACUCCUACGGAGGCAGCAGUGGGGAAUUUGCGCAAUGGGCGAAAGCCUGACGCAGCGACGCCGCGUGGGUGAUGAAGGCCCUCGGGUUGUAAAGCCCUGGUGGGGAGGGAUGAAUAAGGUAUGGCUAAUACCUAUACUGAUGACAGUACCUCCUUAGCAAGCACCGG
RNAcentral lists this ribosomal RNA (488 nucleotides) under uncultured bacterium. RNAcentral's name for it is "bacterial SSU rRNA". It matches the Rfam family "Bacterial small subunit ribosomal RNA", at positions 29 to 496 of the family's 1533-position model. The record is from RNAcentral.